CCUACGGGGGGCUGCAGUGGGGAAUAUUGGACAAUGGGGGCAACCCUGAUCCAGCCAUGCCGCGUGUGUGAAGAAGGCCCUCGGGUUGUAAAGCACUUUCAGUGAGGAAGAACGCUGGUGGUUAAUACCCAUCAGGAAAGACAUCACUCACAGAAGAAGCACCGGCUAACUCCGUGCCAGCAGCCGCGGUAAUACGGAGGGUGCGAGCGUUAAUCGGAAUUACUGGGCGUAAAGCGCGCGUAGGUGGCUUGAUAAGCCGGUUGUGAAAGCCCCGGGCUCAACCUGGGAACGGCAUCCGGAACUGUCAAGCUAGAGUGCAGGAGAGGAAGGUAGAAUUCCCGGUGUAGCGGUGAAAUGCGUAGAGAUCGGGAGGAAUACCAGUGGCGAAGGCGGCCUUCUGGACUGACACUGACACUGAGGUGCGAAAGCGUGGGUAGCAAACAGGAUUAGAUACCCCUGUAGUC
Molecule: ribosomal RNA, 464 nt
Filed under: Vreelandella stevensii
Lineage: Bacteria; Pseudomonadati; Pseudomonadota; Gammaproteobacteria; Oceanospirillales; Halomonadaceae
Description: partial 16S ribosomal RNA
Rfam family: Bacterial small subunit ribosomal RNA
Source: RNAcentral